This 624-nucleotide ribosomal RNA is filed under the name Alebrini sp. UMNG FyV E71. RNAcentral's name for it is "partial large subunit ribosomal RNA". It matches the Rfam family "Eukaryotic large subunit ribosomal RNA", at positions 392 to 777 of the family's 3401-position model. The record is from RNAcentral. Lineage: Eukaryota; Metazoa; Arthropoda; Insecta; Hemiptera; Cicadellidae.
AGAGUACGUGAAACCGAUCAGGGGUAAACGGAAAAGACUUUAAACAUCGAAAGGGGAGAUUCACGCUUUCUCGCAUGAGUCGGCUCCCGCGGGGUCAGAUGGCGCCGUUCGCCCGCUCGGCGCAAGCCGUUGCGGGGUCGUCUCGGUGAUCACUCGACGCCCGUGGGGGUUAUGCCGGCCGCGGUGAGCCGCACUUUUCCCUCAGUAGAACAUCGCGACCCGUUGGUCGACGGUCGACGGCCACGGAUGGAGCCCGGGGGCGGUUAGGUUCGCCGACCCGCUCUCGGACGCUGUGAGUCCUGACCGAUCGGCAGACGGUAUGAAACGCAGGUGUCGGACCGCCACUCAGUUUUGGGCGUCCGGGCCGGUCGCAAGUUGGUGCGUGCGUCGGGAUGACGGGCCUCGGUCCGGCUCUCGCGCCGUCCAGCUGUUGGCGGCCGCGUCCUCGGACGGGUCUUGUAACACCGGUCGGCGAUGUCAGUUUAAGGUACUUAUCCGACCCGUCUUGAAACACGGACCAAGGAGUCUAACAUGUGCGCGAGUCAUUUGGGUGUAAACCUAAAGGCGCAAUGAAAUUGAAGGUCUGACUUGUCAGGCCGAGGGAAGAUGGACGUGCAGCCCAAG